Non-coding RNA from Pantoea sp. PSNIH1, 126 nucleotides. NCBI's taxonomy places the organism in Bacteria, Pseudomonadati, Pseudomonadota, Gammaproteobacteria, Enterobacterales, Erwiniaceae. The record is from Rfam.
CAUGAAACCUCAGCCAUUUUUCUUCGCAUUCUUUUUUACCUUCCCCUGAACGGGAGGCGCGUCGUCAUGCGAAAAUGAAUGCGAAGACGAAUGACAAAGCCUCCCCCACCGGGAGGCUUUUUUUUU